CUAUAUUACCAUCUGACAUCUAUUAUGAUAUGGAAUACUGUAUUGAUUACUCUACAUUUCGCAAAAUACCGAAAGGUAUGUCAUGAGGGUGUCCAAGAUGCUUUUGGUCUUCUUUUCUAUACAAAUUUUUUCUUAACAAGAAAAAACAAUGGUGUUUUAGAAAUAGGAACAAUUCUGCACAUGUGCUUCUUGCAGGUGUUAUGAUUGUUUGAUGAACACAAAAAUUCGUUUUAGCUGAAAAUUCAUCUAUUCCCUUGUAUAUAUACACUUUUAAAUUUCACGGGUUCUUAGUUGCU
This 296-nucleotide long non-coding RNA is filed under the name Medicago truncatula (barrel medic). RNAcentral's name for it is "long non-coding RNA (MTRU_LNC003141)". The record is from RNAcentral. Lineage: Eukaryota; Viridiplantae; Streptophyta; Magnoliopsida; Fabales; Fabaceae.